Triticum aestivum (bread wheat) is the source of this 3417-nucleotide long non-coding RNA. RefSeq lists it as uncharacterized. The transcript is spliced from 2 exons. The record is from RefSeq and is a predicted model, not a curated record. Lineage: Eukaryota; Viridiplantae; Streptophyta; Magnoliopsida; Poales; Poaceae.
CUUUCAUGUAUUCUAUAUGAAGAAGAUUUUUCAGUCAACACGAUUUGAGAUGAAACAAGCAACAUGCAUGUUUAAUUUGACCAACGUCGGAUUAAGCAUGUGUGUCAAAGAGCGUUCGGAUUUAUUUUUGAAUUUCAUGAUUGCAUAUGCAGUCAAAAGAGCCAAUUCUGGCAUUUAUGUUCCUUACAGGGAAUUACCCGCAUAGCGGGAAAAGAGGAUUAUGAUAAAACCCGCAUGGCGGGGAAAGUCUGGGAAAAUACCUGCGUAACUGGGUAAAGUUGACAUAGUAUUAUGUCAAAAAUCCUAUACGUCAGGAGAAAUUUUGGCAAAGAACUUAUCCUGUAUGACAGGAGAAAGAUAUGAUGACUCAUGUGCGUUUGAUGUGUCCCACUCUGGGAGAAAAGUACGGAGUAGUUAUUAUGCUUUCCUAGUAUUGACCGUACACCUUAUGUGUAACGGUCAUUAAGCACUCAAUAAAUCCAAAGAGAAUAAAAGUUACAGACGAACCUAAAGAUAAGAAUGAUAUGCAAGUGUGACUUGCAAAAGUACUAAUGAUAAAGAACUAUUUUGAGUUUCCGAAAUGGAAUGAGGAAUAAGGAAAAAGUACUCCCAUACCGUUAACAGAUAACUUCAUUACAUAUGAAGUAAUCAGAUACAUGAAGUAGAUACUCAAAGUUUCCUCAAUUCACAAGAGUUGUGAAUGGUUUUUCGAAAUUGUGGCAGAAAAGUUCUUGCCACAUUUCGAGGGGGAGAAAGAAAUAUGAGAUAUCCAUUAAUGAAGAAUGUGAUCAUCUGGGGGAGUACGACGAUCAUAAUAAUACCCCUAAAGAAAAGAAAUAGAUGUAUUCCUGGAUCUUUUACAGUUCCGAAAGCAGACUAAGGAAUACUAAGACGGUGCUUAAAGUGCCAUAAAGAAGAAAGUUUUAACAGAUUAAACCCAAAUAAUAAAGUUUAAAGAUACGCCAUUUUUUAGUAAAGAUGGAGUAAUGUGGGGGAGCAUGGUAUGAAAAUACCUAAGACUCGAAUAGAUUGUAUCUGGGGGAGCAUGUUGUAUGACUUAUACAACACCUGUUGUUAGCUCCAUAAAGGAGGAAUGAGUAAACAUGGAUCUUGUGAUACAGGUCCUGUAAAACCUAUUGCCUCUUGGAAGUGAAAGACUACAAUUAAUUUGCCUCUUGGCAAUGACAGAGCAACAACAGCCCCAUAUGAAAGAAAUGCCAGUACCUGAGACACAGAUGGUCUCAAGGAAUGAGAAAAUCAGAUACUUCUGAUUACUAUAAAGUCUAUGUUAGUGAAAUUCAAAUGGAGGUUGAUCCCACCUCAUUUAAAGCGCUCAAUCGAGCUUUGAGAAGUGUCUGCUUAUCUAAAUGAUAAGAGACUAUGUGAGAUGAAAUGAAAUUGGUGAAUUCUGACGAUGUUCGGGACUCAUGAGUAAUUUCCAAUGAAGCCAAAACAGUAGGCUGUAAAGAGUCUACAAGGACAAUGUGACUCCAAAGGAAAUAUGUAAAGGUGUAAAACACGACUAAAAUCGAAAGGUUUUUUGCGCAUUUUACACUGAAUAGAUUACAAUGAGUGUUGGUAGCACAUCAUGAUCUGAGUUACAUCAGAUGAAAGAUAUUAUGAUCUGAGUUACAUCAGAUGAAAGUAAAGAACACAGGGGAUACUGCCUGAAGAAGUCUUUUAUGGACUAAAGCAAUCAAAUGUUGUUUUGGGUUAAAGAAAAUGAGAGGACAAUUGUGUUUGUAUAAAGUUAUAGAAUGGGAAUUUCAUUUCCUAUAUCUUGUACAUGCGGAUAACAUUCUGCUUGUUAGUAGUGAUGUUAAUUCGACUGCAGGAGGAAAAGAAGUUCUUGUCCUCAAAGUUUAAAAGAAUGUCUCUCGUUAUAAGGAUCGAGAUUCACCGAGAAAAGAAUAAAAGGGGUAUUAGGUGUGUCGCAUGGGCAUGCUAAGGAAAGUUUCUAAAGUAUGCAUGCGAGAAAACCUACGCCUGUUCUUAUAGUAAAGGGUAAUGAUUUUGGGAACUUUAGUGUUCCAAAAGUCAAUACGAAAUAGACCAAAUGAAUAUGGUACCAUAUGCUUCAGCUGUUGGAAGCUUAAUGAAUGCAAAAGUAUAACAUUACCGUGACACAGUUCACGUAACCGGGUUGUUUUGGUAAUGUCCAGUCCAGAUAUAGAUCACUGGAAUGGAGUCAAGGAUAUCGGCCUCAUGCUGAAAGAAAUAAGUGCUCUCAAAAGAUUGUGAGUACAAAGACAGGACUCGUGAAAUAUACAGCGAAAUCCACAAUUGUCGCUGACUUUCACACUUGGAGUUUUUGUGUGGAAAAACUCUAAAGAAUGAAUCAAUUAUCAUUAAUAUGAUGUAAAGAUAAUGUACAACAUGAUAUGAGGCUGAGGGACAGGCAAAAAGGUUAAAGAAACAAGUACCCGGAAUUGAUAAUGGUUGACAACAGCGAUAACCAUUUUAAGUUUUUCGCUCCUAUGACAACGAGUCAAGUGUUGAUGCCAAACACACUGACAUAGAGUUAUGCGUUGUAAAGGAGAAAGUCCGGAAUCAUGUAGAAAUGCUUGAAGCAUAAAAGCAACAGACAAGUGUUUGCAGAUCUGCUUAUUAAAGGCUUGCCGCCCAGUGUGUUUGGAGAACACUCAGUCGACAUGGGUUUUAUGGUAUAGUCUAAGAUUUCCGGAUAAUAAAAGGGCCCAGGGUUAAAUAAUCUGUUUCAAAACAGAGGAGUGUGUUGUAGGUGUUGAUUCUAUCGGGAAUGAACCGUGAUGAUGAGACAUGCUCUACAUGCAAAUCUGUGAUGGAACGAGUACUUUGAAAAGAGUUAUUUCAAAGUAUAAAGUUAAAAGUAUAAUGAUGAGAUCAAGGGGGAGAAUGUUAGGUUGAGCUCUCCACCAAUGGGCCCAAUGGCUCAUUGGGCCCUUGACCCACGCCCUGAUCGGGGGCGUCCAGCCCAAGCAAGGCUGGUGGGCCCCUGUCGCGCAGUGCUAUAAAGAGGAGGCGGGGACCAGGGGUACGAGGUUCGUCACCGCCACUGUUCCCCACUCCUAACCCUAUCCGAUCCAGAGGGAGGCACUGAAGCGAUGGGAAGCUCCACCGCUGCCACUCAUGCACUUCACCGUCGACCUCUACACCGACCGUCGCUGCCCGUGCGCAGUCCUCCAUCGACGAACCAGCAAUGGCCGGAACGCUAAGAGUAGAAGGAGAAGAAAUAUAGCGCGUCUGCUGGAGCGGCUCGCGCGCGCUACAUUUUGCAACGACCGCUGAAACCGACGCUUCGCAGCAUGUAAAAACUGGCUACGAAGGCGCUGUAAACGCUUUUUUAGCGCGCCGCGUGUUGCGCGCUUGUUGGAGAUUCUCUCAGUACGUGAGAGACAUGAUAAAUAAUUAAAUCGUACAGUACAUUUUUCUAGCAAA